Long non-coding RNA from Mirounga angustirostris (Northern elephant seal), 1430 nucleotides. RefSeq lists it as uncharacterized. The record is from RefSeq and is a predicted model, not a curated record. Lineage: Eukaryota; Metazoa; Chordata; Mammalia; Carnivora; Phocidae. The transcript is spliced from 3 exons.
AUAUAAUGAAUGAUUACACAUAUCUGUGUUACUUAACAUAAAAAUAUGAAAAAUAGGUAUUUAUCUGAAGCUAUGUUAUUCAGAAAUUACAUGAAUGCUAUUUAAACAAAGCAACAUAGGACUAGUUAUCAGUGGCAAUUAGUUGUAAUUGAUAGGAGGAUUUGUUUGUUUGUUUUAAGAUUUUAUUUAUUUGACAGAGAGAGACAGCGAGAGAGGGAACACAAGCAGGGGGAGUGGGAGAGGGAGAAGCAGGCUUCCCGCCGAGCAGGGAGCCCGAUGCGGGGCUCGAUCCCAGGACCCUGGGAUCAUGACCUGAGCCGAAGGCAGACGCUGAACGACUGAGCCACCCAGGCGCCCCCCGAUAGGAGGAUUUGAUGGGAUUCCAUGUUUAGCAAAGAAAAAAAAAGUAACAGGUUAAGAAAAACACUUACGUGAAAUCUCCCUUUAAGUCUUGAUUUCCAUGGGCCAAAACACUAGAAACAGAGAAAGAAGGAGAGGCAGAGAGAGGGAUAGGGUGUUUGUUUUACCAGUAUCAUACUAGUUGUUUGACCUGGGACGAACUAGUUCACUCUUCUGUAUGUUAGUUUCCAUACAUGUAAAAUGAGGAGACUAGGACUAUGAAUUUUAUAGGGUUGUUCUGAGGUGUAGCACCCCCUUAUCCUCUGUUUUGCCUUCCACAGUUUCAGUUACCCAAGGUCAGUCAUGGUCCAGAAGCAGAUGAUCCUCCUGCUGACAUAUCCUGAGAAGGUCAAUAGUAGCCGGAGGCUACCUCACAAUGCCUCCAUUAUUCAUCUCACUUCAUCUCAUCGCAUAGGCAUUUUAUCAUCUCACAUCAUCACAAGAAGAAGGAAGGGGGACCCCAAAUGUGGGUCGAAGAUCAGGUGGAAGCCGGUCGUGGGGCCAUGGAAGAACUCACCUGAGGCAGAACAAAGGAUACAGAAGUUUAUGAAUACACCCCAAGGGAACAAUGGGCAGGACAGCAAAGCAGAGACUGUCUGCAAGGAGGCAGUGGGAAUGUAAUCCUAACCUGUCAGUCUGGAAUUUUCUGGUCAGCGCCAAUGAAGCCAUGCUCCUAAUAAGUUCUCUUGUCUCCCAAAGGAAGGUUACCUUGCCAGAAGAUUUUUUUUUCAUUUAUGACUUCCUUGUUCCACACCCUUUUUGCUUUUCAAAACCUUUCCUUCUGUAGCUCUCUGAGGCUCCAUUCUAUUGGAUGGGAUGCUGCUGAUUUGUGAAUCAUUCAAUAAAGCCAAUUCAAUCUUUAAAUUUACUCCACUGCAUUUUUUUUUCUUUUUUUUUUACAAUUUCAUUUGUAUUUUGUGAGUGAACUGUCCAUAAUUGUACUUGAAUGUUUUCCUCUUGGGGUAUAGAUUUUGGAUUUUGGAUUUCGGAUUUUGAGACAUCAUUAGAAAUAUUUCUCUAUGCCCAGAUUA